Molecule: non-coding RNA, 1107 nt
Organism: Schizosaccharomyces pombe (fission yeast)
Lineage: Eukaryota; Fungi; Ascomycota; Schizosaccharomycetes; Schizosaccharomycetales; Schizosaccharomycetaceae
Source: the annotation of a GenBank genome assembly
AUGAAUCUUUGACUAAUAGACUGGAAAUGGCCUUCAUUGCAGGUUUGCGAAUCCAUGAGCCAACAUCUCCUCGGGUAUCUGUCAAAUAAUUGGAGCAAACCUGAAGUAAUUCUUUGACAAAUUCUUCAAUGCUUUCUGUUUUUUCAUAAGUAAAGGGAAUAAUAUUUUGAAGCGCAUUCGCAACAGGUGCUUGAUAGUCUAUUGAGUGCUGUUCAUGUUAACAUUGGUGAAAAAAUUCUUUACUUACGAGUUGGGGAUAAAUAUCCAAUAAAAGCUUGCAUAUCUUUUUCUGGUAUCGAAAACUUAUAUUCGGUAAAUUCUGUAGAAUAAUGUAUACAAUUCUCGCUUCUUUACUUGUUGAGCAUUUUCGUAUAUAGUCAAGAAGAACCUCCAAUGUUUCUUCCAUAUCAUCAAAUUUAACAAGUACACUGUAAGCGUCACUGAUGUCUUUUAUGAUUGUUUCCUCCUGUAAAUCAAUAGCAGCGAUUAUAACAGAAAAUGCUUCACUGAAAAAUGCUCUGUCAACACGAAUAUCAUUGGCAAAAAUUUGUUGAAUUCCUUUUAAAAUUCCCAAAAUAAUUUUUGUUUGCUGUUGCCUUGAAAAUUUUUUUAAGGACAGUAGGUUUUUGUGCGACAGUAAAUCAUGGAUACGAUUUAUAUCGAACGGGAAGCUUAUGGAUAAAAAUCCACCUAUAAUACUUGCCAAUCCAAUCGUAUAGCCAAAAAUAAAAUCUGCAUUACCAACAGACAAAUAAUCAAGUAUGGGAGGAAGAUAGAUGCUUAGCUCUUUGGGAUAUUUAAUAGAAAGUUGUCUUAGGGAAAAAGCAGAAAGCUGCUGUACCUUCACGUCCCAGUGCUGAAGGUUUGUAAAUAGUCUUUGGAAAACACAGGAACGAAACUGAGGAAAAUGAGCUACUUUCAUACACAAGUCACCAUAACAAUUUGAAAUAUCCGUUACAGAAACAUAGUUAAUAUGUGAUAUCAAAGAAAGCCCAUCGGGAAUAGAAGCGUGUCUGCCAAUCACCUCAAAUAAAGCAGCAGUUGCAGCUCUGCGCACAUUUAUUUCAUUGUCAAACAAUACCGUUUGUAAGAGACAUAAAAUAAGAU